This is a long non-coding RNA of Papaver somniferum (opium poppy), 1598 nucleotides long. RefSeq lists it as uncharacterized. The record is from RefSeq and is a predicted model, not a curated record. The transcript has 6 exons. Lineage: Eukaryota; Viridiplantae; Streptophyta; Magnoliopsida; Ranunculales; Papaveraceae.
CCAGAAGUUUCCUUUCUCUAGGAGCUGUGUAUAUAAAAAUCAGUACGUAUUAGGGUUGUGGCUAGCCACUCUUUUUUCUUGUCUGGUUGAUCAAAUUUUAGACGGAAUGGGUAAAUUCAGCAAAAAAUCAGAUUUCUAACUCAUCUGUUGCACCUCACUGGAGCAUAUAAAACAGUAGUUGCCAGUCACCUAUCAUAUUCUGUGAAUAAAUCUGAACUGAUUGAGUUCUUUAAGCAGGCUGGGGAAGUUGUUGAUGCGCGCUAUAGGUUUGAACAUUGCAAGGGAACCUGCUUUGUUGAGUUUGCAACUGAAGAAGCUGUAAACAAGGUAGACUUCUCAGCUUGUGCUCCAUAAUUAGUUAUAGGUGCUUUAUUUUAAAUACUUACAAUUGCGGGCAUUAGAGGUGGAUGGACAAUAUACUUGUGUAAUAGGGAUAUUAAAGUUCGACCUCUAGUGGCAAUCAAUGGAGCAUCAAAAACACUUGUUGCCAAGAACCUAUCGUUUUCCACUACUAAAUCUGAUGUGUGAGUGUAUAUGCCAAUGUUAAACUCUUACUUUCUGACCUUUGCCAUAUUUCAUUGCAUUAACAUUCUUCUGCUGCUGCUGUCGUAGGGUCGAGUUAUUUAAACAGGCUGGGGAAAUUGUUGAUGUGCGUUUCUCGUUAGAUCACAAUGGAAAUUUCAGGGGAAAUUGCCAUAUUGAGUUUGCAACUGCAGAAGCUGCUAUGAAGGUAGAUUUCCUAGUUCGAAAGCUCUGUACUCUAAAUUGUACUCAUGAUUAAUUUACCAUUGCAGGCAGCUGAGUUAAAUGGCGAAUACUUGUUGGGCCGUCAUGUUGUAGUUGGCUUUACUCGUGAAACCAUAUUUAUCCAUAUUUAAUACCUAUUUAAGAUUUGACCAGAUCCAGAGCUCCCUAGUAGAGCUUUUCUCAACUUGUGGAGAGAUCUCAUGGAUGCACAUUCCAACGUCUCGUUAUACUGGUAUUCCUCGAGGGAUUGCUUUCAUGGAGUUUUUUGAUUCCCGAGAUUUUCACAAGCUCUUGCGAUGAAUGGACAUAAACUAGGUGAUUCCACCUUGACAGUUGAAGAUGCUAUGCCAGUUCGACUUGAUGUUCAACCAACGGGUGUUAGCAUGGGACUUCGUGGAAACCGUAUUGGCUCAAUUUAUCCUUUCGGGUGCUACUCAACUGACAGAGGUUGGGGGGUGCUGGCAUAGGAAAAGAUGGAAACAUCUACCAUCUUCCUUCAGGAAAGAAAACUAAAUUUGAUGAUGAUUAUUAACCUGAAGGAAGAACAAGGCGGAAUUUGGGAUGAAUGGCCGGCGAUUGAACAUAAAUGAUAUGUCCAGUACUGUAUGUGCACAAAAAAUUUAUAGGGAAGUUUUAGGGUUCAGUCUUCAGAUUUCAGAAGCUUUUACCAUGUGAACUGUUUUCUCAUCUUGUAGAAAACCUGGUCGGACUAGAUUGCACUCAUAGCCUGUUAUUGUAAACAAGUUUACAUUAAUGGGAAUAAUGAAGCUGAACUAUGUGGACUAGACUGUAUUGCAAACGGUCAAACUUAAUUUUUGGCGAAAUUCAUGUUGACCAAAGUCAAAGUUUUU